AGAGGGGGAAAGGAAAGAGGCAGACGUUUGCCUUUUCUGGUGACUGCUGUAGCCUGGGAAAGAUUGCGCAGCAGCAGGAACUCUUUGUGCGCUAGUCGAGUUUGGGAUAAAGCAGCGGAAAGACAGGCUGGAAUGGUGUGAGAGGAAGGACUAUUUUCAGACCGUACAUUUAAAGGGCUAAUCGUCACUACUGCUAAGCGUGAAACCAUGGACGACGACUUUGAGCGGCGCAGAGAACUACGGAGGCAGAAGAGGGAGGAGAUGCGCCUGGAGGCUGAGCGGAUGGUGUACCAGGUUGGUAAUGACGACGAGGAGGAGGCUGCCAGGGAACGCCGGCGCAGGGCACGUCAGGAGCGAAUGAGAGGCAUGGAGGCCGAGGAUCCCAGUGAUGGGGUGUUGACUAACAGCCACAGUGUGAUUGAGACUGUGUCCGUGUCCUCCUCUUCUGUGGCGUCUUCGGGUGGAGUAGACGAUGAAGAGCAGGCCCUGCUUGAGCGCAUGGCCAAACGAGAAGAGCGCCGGCAGAGGAGAAUGAUGGACGCUCUGGAGAGAGAGAAGAGUCUCGACCCAUCCGUGGCCGAAGGAAGCUACGGCGCCAGGGACGGCCGUGUGGACGAGACGUCCGCCGGACCCCGAGGCCGUUACAGAGACAGCGAAGAAGAGGCGGAAGGGAGGAACAGCCAAAAGGAGGAGGCGGAGGAGGAGAGGGAGGUGGAGGAGGAAGCAGCCCCAGAGGAGGAAGUGGCUGAGCAGGAAGAGGAAGAAGCUGAGCAGGAAGAGGAAGUGGUGGUGGAAAAACCAAGACGAUCCUAUAUGAGAGAAGAGGAGUCCGUCGAAGAAAAGGAAGACACUGAAGAAAAAGCAGUGAUAACAAACCAGAUUGAGGAAUCAGUCAAUUGGAAGGCAGAGGUUGGAGAUGACUCUGAAUCAAAUGAUGAGGAAGAGGUAGAUGUGGCCCCAGAACAGUUAGAGGUGAAUGAGAAGCACAAUGGAGGUCUGCAUGAGGACACCUCUCCAAAGCACCAUAAGCCAGAGAGGACCCUGAGUCGCGGCAGCGUGCGCUCCCCUGAAACGGGAGCAGAGGAGCAGGACGCCGCGGCGCGCCUGGAGGCAGAGAGCAAGCUGGAGGAACUGAAGCGCCGCCGCGACGACGCGGAGACCGAGGAGUUUGAGCGGAUGAGGCGGAAGCAGCAGGAGGCCGAGCAAGAGCUGGAGGAGCUGAAGAAGAAGAGGGAGGAAAGGAGAAAGAUCCUAGAAGAGGAGGAGAAACAGCAGAAAGAAGAGGAGGCCAAGAGGAAGGCCAGAGAGGAGGAUGAGAAGAGGAGGAUGAAGGAGGAGAUCGAGAGGAGGAGGGCAGAGGCGGCGGAGAAGAGACAGCAUAUGGGCGUGGAGACUGUAGACGGGGAAGCCAAACCUUUUAAAUGCUUCAGCCCCCGUGGGUCCUCCCUCAAGAUUGGCGAAAGGGCAGAGUUUCUGAACAAGUCGGCCCAGAAAAGCGCAGUGAAGACGUCCCACACUCCCGUCGUCUCAAAGAUUGACAACAGACUGGAGCAGUACACUUCUGUUGCCCAGAGCAAGGAUGUGCGGUCUCCACGCUCCGGUGCAGUGGACCUGCCCAUGGUGACAGACGGGAUCCGCAACAUUAAGAGCAUGUGGGAGAAAGGCAGCGUGUUCAACUCGCCCGGGGGUGGCGGGGGCACGCACAAGGAAGCAGCUGGGAUGAAGAUAGGCGUGGCAGGCCGCAUCAACGACUGGCUGAAUAAAACCCCUGAGAGCAAAACGCCAGGAGGAAGGCCAACGGACCUGAAGCCAGGAGACGUGACCAACAAGAGAAGUCUGUGGGAAAACAAAGGCUCCUCCCCGGCCAAGAGCUCUGAAGAAGAGCUCUCUUAGCUAGUUGACUUCCGUGUUAACUAGUCUGGAAACCCUGGAGAGGUGACUGGCAGAGGGGAGACUAAAUCUGUCACCAACGGUAUGGGACACUAAUGACUCAAAGAGCUUCUAAAGGCUGGCGGGGACCAAGACAAUCCAAGACUCUUCCUUUUCUAUGUGUAUUAUACCAAAAAAUAAAAGACCACCACCCUGAGUGAGCCCAAGGAAUGGAGAGACAGGAGAUUCUAUUUAAUAAGCACUGUACUGAAACAAAUGGCCACCAUCGCGUAAUAUUGCAGAGCAGUGCCUUUGCACAAAGAUUCACUUUCAUUUACUUAAAACAAAUAAUGAAUAAUAUGCUGUGAAAUUUGGAAGUUUGACGAUAUGAUGGUUUUGUUUUAUAUUUUAUAUGCAAAAACUUGCGGACGAAGAAAAAAAAAAGAUUUAGAAAUUUGAUGUGUUUCCCUUGUGCUCCACACUACCUUGGUAGUUUUUAAACUGUGGAGCAACGUUACUUUUCUUUGAGGAGGUUUCCAAAGAGAUAUUUACCAUCAGUACUAUGUCUGCUCACUCCAUGUUGUCCAUCGAUCACUUAUUUUGUAUUUAUAUUUAAAGCAAGGCUUAACACAUAGCUAUUUUAUACAUGUUCACCAUUUCAGGAUAGAGAUUAUAAGCACCCUGUAGACUUAGCUUAUUUCACUUUGUGUCUUACCAGUAAUGCGUCAAUGGUCUGAGUUAAUGUAUGUUAGCACAUAAGUACAUGACGUUAUAAAUAUUAUACUGUAUCUUGUAUUACAGCUUUAUAUUCAAGAUUUGUUUUGCUUUUGUACUCUAAAAUGACUACCAACCGACAAGAGGCAAUUAAAGGAAGUGCAAGCAACUAAAGGAAAGUGAAAUAUCAAGACGGCCAUUAUAACGCUCAUUAUCUUUUCAUUUUAUUUAUGUUUUUUAUGGGUUUUGUCAUUAUUUUCUUUCUGUCUUGGCUGUUUUUGUAGCUUUUAUAUCUGCUGUUUGAGUCUCUAAUUCAUUUUGUUAAACAUUACAACAUUACCUUAUGGAACAGAUUUUAAACCAGUCUUACUAAUUCAUAUGUUAAACCAUCUCUAAAGGCUUCUGUUUAGGAGGUUAUUUAAAAACCUUAGCGUUGUCAGGGAAUUUGUCUGAGCAUGACGAUAAAAUAUAUAACCAGGUUUGGAAACGUACAGUAUGAUUGUCUUGUGCCUUGAAAUGGCAUCCAUUUAAGCCGUAUAUUUCCUUGCCAUUGAAGCUCAAAUGAUGUACAAACAAAAGCAAUGUGAAAGUGCAAAUUUAGAUAUUGACAUUGAUAGGGGACCAAGUCAAUCAGGAAAAGGAUUUUCUCUCUAUGAGACACUUGUUUGACACUUGUUCUGGGUUGGAUUUGUCUAAAAAUUACAUAGUGACAUCUAAUAUUGUGUUUAUGGCAUAUUUUCUUUUACAUACAAUGAUCCUAAGGUCUUAUUGCAGUAAACAGCAGCAAACAAAGGCACAGCAUAUACGGUAUUCACACUUUGCCAACUCAGUAUGACUUUAGCUGUUUCAGUUUUUAUUGAGGUUAUGUUUCACAUUUCAUUAUUAUAGACAUUUUGGCAGUUUUGCAUGACAUGCUUUGAUAAUAUGGGGAUUAUAGAAAGGCUGGCAGGGGCUUUGGGAUGUGCGAUUCCUUGACAAUGACAUUCCAUGACCUCGUCUGACCAAAAUAUAAUUGUUACAUUGCUGUUAUUUCAUAUUUUGGUAUUUUGCUUUUUUGUCAGUUUUUGUUAUUACAUUUUCAAACUAUAGGGUAUAGUUCAAACUAUGCAAGGCACACUUUGUAUUUUCUAGUUUUGGAUAAAACUUUCUCAUAGUAGUGGGUAGUUUCCUAAAGAACAAAUGAUAUAAACUGUACCGUUGACUCAACAACAGCAAUAAAAAGAUACAAACUGUU
This is an RNA transcript of Esox lucius (northern pike), 3817 nucleotides long. It is a transcript of the gene named caldesmon 1a, with no coding region annotated. Lineage: Eukaryota; Metazoa; Chordata; Actinopteri; Esociformes; Esocidae. The transcript is spliced from 17 exons. The record is from RefSeq and is a predicted model, not a curated record.